UUAGCGGCGGACGGGUGAGUAACACGUGGGUAACCUGCCUGUAAGACUGGGAUAACUCCGGGAAACCGGGGCUAAUACCGGAUGGUUGUUUGAACCGCAUGGUUCAAACAUAAAAGGUGGCUUCGGCUACCACUUACAGAUGGACCCGCGGCGCAUUAGCUAGUUGGUGAGGUAACGGCUCACCAAGGCAACGAUGCGUAGCCGACCUGAGAGGGUGAUCGGCCACACUGGGACUGAGACACGGCCCAGACUCCUACGGGAGGCAGCAGUAGGGAAUCUUCCGCAAUGGACGAAAGUCUGACGGAGCAACGCCGCGUGAGUGAUGAAGGUUUUCGGAUCGUAAAGCUCUGUUGUUAGGGAAGAACAAGUACCGUUCGAAUAGGGCGGUACCUUGACGGUACCUAACCAGAAAGCCACGGCUAACUACGUGCCAGCAGCCGCGGUAAUACGUAGGUGGCAAGCGUUGUCCGGAAUUAUUGGGCGUAAAGGGCUCGCAGGCGGUUUCUUAAGUCUGAUGUGAAAGCCCCCGGCUCAACCGGGGAGGGUCAUUGGAAACUGGGGAACUUGAGUGCAGAAGAGGAGAGUGGAAUUCCACGUGUAGCGGUGAAAUGCGUAGAGAUGUGGAGGAACACCAGUGGCGAAGGCGACUCUCUGGUCUGUAACUGACGCUGAGGAGCGAAAGCGUGGGGAGCGAACAGGAUUAGAUACCCUGGUAGUCCACGCCGUAAACGAUGAGUGCUAAGUGUUAGGGGGGUUUCCGCCCCUUAGUGCUGCAGCUA
This 779-nucleotide ribosomal RNA is filed under the name Cytobacillus firmus. RNAcentral describes it as "bacterial SSU rRNA". It matches the Rfam family "Bacterial small subunit ribosomal RNA", at positions 92 to 854 of the family's 1533-position model. The record is from RNAcentral. Lineage: Bacteria; Bacillati; Bacillota; Bacilli; Caryophanales; Bacillaceae.